AUGCAUGUUGGGACCUAUGGUCACGGUUGUCCAUUCUCUUUCAUUGUAGAGUUUGGACAUAUACUAACAUGCUAGAUUAACUUUUGGAGUUAUCAGGGCCACCAGUCUCUCGAGAACAGCCUGAGUCGGUAGUAUAAUACUCCAACAUGU
Molecule: small nucleolar RNA, 150 nt
Organism: Gadus morhua (Atlantic cod)
Lineage: Eukaryota; Metazoa; Chordata; Actinopteri; Gadiformes; Gadidae
Product: small nucleolar RNA U109
Source: Ensembl